GUCUUUUUGAAUAUAAUAUAAAGUCUGAUCUGCCCAUUGAUUUAUUAAAAGGCUGCAGUAUUUUGACUGUACAAAGGUAGCAUAAUAAUUAGUUUUUUAAUUGAAAGCUAGAAUGAAUGAUUUGAUAAAAAAAAUACUGUCUCUUUUUUAUAAUUAGAAUUUUAUUUUUGAGUUAAAAAGCUUAAAUUUUAUUAAAAGACGAGAAGACCCUAUAGAGUUUGUAUAUAAAUUUUUAAUAUUUUUUUAUUUUUUUUAAAUUUUAUUAUUUAAAUAUAUUUUAUUGGGGUGAUAGAAAAGUUUGUUUAACCUUUUUAUUAUAGAAACAAUUAUUAUUGAAAUAUUGAUCCUUUUUGAUUAUUAGAUUAAAUUACCUUAGGGAUAACAGCGUAAUUUUUUUGGAGAGUUCAUAUCUAUAAAAAAGUUUGCGACCUCGAUGUUGGAUUAAGAUUUUAUUUAAAUGUAGAAGUUUAAAUUUUAAGUCUGUUCGACUUUUGUAAUCUUACAUGAUC
This 509-nucleotide ribosomal RNA is filed under the name Fustiger sp. Brazil JP-2014. RNAcentral's name for it is "partial 16S ribosomal RNA". The stretch from base 378 to 509 matches the Rfam family "Bacterial large subunit ribosomal RNA", at positions 2473 to 2605 of the family's 2925-position model. Lineage: Eukaryota; Metazoa; Arthropoda; Insecta; Coleoptera; Staphylinidae. The record is from RNAcentral.